Paramuricea clavata is the source of this 339-nucleotide non-coding RNA. NCBI's taxonomy places the organism in Eukaryota, Metazoa, Cnidaria, Anthozoa, Malacalcyonacea, Plexauridae. The record is from the annotation of a GenBank genome assembly.
AUUUAAAAAUAUGUUAAUUGCUCCGAUAUUUUAUGCAAAUAUUAAAAACAAACAAGUUAGAUUCUCAAUGAAAUAACGAGGGGAUUGUUCAAUAUGCCCACAAUCUAAUUUGUGAUUUCCAACAACACAUUUCGCAAUGUCAACAAUCUAAUUUGAAUUUUCCCGCGACUUUGAACGGAUAUUUUUUGUGACUACAGUCUCUUAGGUCAGCAGUAAAGGCCAUGGUAACAUAGCAACAGCUUUCAAGAGCUUUCGAGCAACAACAAUGGCGGAAAGAUCAUGAAACACUAGUCAUGAAAUGAAUACCGGCGAAAAUGACAACUAUAUUUUGAAAUUUUG